AACGAACGCUGGCGGCGUGGUUGAUACAUGCAAGUCGAACGGGAAACAGUCCUUCGGGGCUGGAGUACAGUGGCGGACGGGUGAGUAACGUAUGAUCAAUCUGCCCUGAAGACUAGGAUAGCCGUCCGAAAGGACGGGUAAUACUGGAUAAGCCCACGGUAAGGCAUCUUAUUGCGGGAAAAGGAUUGGGAUCUUCGGACCUUUCGCUUCAGGAUGAGAUCAUAACCUAUCAGUUAGUUGGCGGGGUAACGGCCCACCAAGACGACGACGGGUAGCCGGCCUGAGAGGGUGGACGGCCACACUGGAACUGAGACACGGUCCAGACUCCUACGGGAGGCAGCAGUGCUGAAUUAUUCGCCAAUGCGCGAAAGCGUGACGGUGCGACGCCGCGUGCGGGACGAAGGCCUUCGGGUUGUAAACCGCUGUCAGGGAUUAGAAAACCGAUGCAGUUAAUAGCUGUAACGCUGAUCAGUCCCAAAGGAAGCACAGGCUAAUCUCGUGCCAGCAGCCGCGGUAAAAC
Molecule: ribosomal RNA, 520 nt
Filed under: uncultured bacterium
Lineage: Bacteria
Description: bacterial SSU rRNA
Rfam family: Bacterial small subunit ribosomal RNA
Source: RNAcentral